RNAcentral lists this ribosomal RNA (480 nucleotides) under uncultured Persicobacter sp. RNAcentral's name for it is "bacterial SSU rRNA". It matches the Rfam family "Bacterial small subunit ribosomal RNA", at positions 28 to 505 of the family's 1533-position model. The record is from RNAcentral. Lineage: Bacteria; Pseudomonadati; Bacteroidota; Cytophagia; Cytophagales; Persicobacteraceae.
GAUGAACGCUAGCGGCAGGCCUAAUACAUGCAAGUCGAGGGGUAACAGGGAAGCUUGCUUCCGCUGACGACCGGCGCACGGGUGCGUAACGCGUAUACAAUCUGCCCUUAACUGGAGGAUAGCCACUGGAAACAGUGAUUAAUACUCCAUAACACUGCACGAUCGCAUGAGAGAGCAGUUAAAGAAUUUCGGUUAAGGAUGAGUAUGCGUGACAUUAGCUAGUUGGUGAGGUAACGGCUCACCAAGGCAACGAUGUCUAGGGGUUCUGAGAGGAUGAUCCCCCACACUGGUACUGAGACACGGACCAGACUCCUACGGGAGGCAGCAGUAGGGAAUAUUGGGCAAUGGAGGCAACUCUGACCCAGCCAUGCCGCGUGCAGGAUGAAGGCGUUCUGCGUUGUAAACUGCUUUUAUAUGGGAAGAAAAAGGCUAUGCGUAGCAAACUGACGGUACCAUAUGAAUAAGCACCGGCUAACUCCG